This 833-nucleotide long non-coding RNA is filed under the name Equus asinus (donkey). RNAcentral's name for it is "lncRNA (ENSEASG00005032127.1)". Lineage: Eukaryota; Metazoa; Chordata; Mammalia; Perissodactyla; Equidae. The record is from RNAcentral.
CGACUCCCGGCAUGCAGUGGGCGGUCCCCGCGCACGGGGGCGAGCGACGUCACAAUGGCAGUGUGGCUAGCCAGUCAGAGGCGGAGCUGCUCUCGAUCACCACCCUUGCGUCUGCAUCACUUUCGAUGCCAUGGCAACGGCGUAAACAGGCGGAGAAAAAAAUACUGCCCUGAGAACCGGAGAGCAGAGACCGGGAGAGACAGAGACAUAGAGACAGGGAGAUCCAGAGAUGGAGACGCAUACACGGCCGGAGACCCAGACACAGGGCCAAAGACAGACAGAAAUGGGUAACUCAGAGCUGGAAGACGGAGAGAGACCUGAGAUGAGAAGACUCUGAGAUGCAGACAGAGACGGCGGGCAGCGGGGAGGCGACAGAGGUGGAGAGACCCGAACCCGAGAAACAGAGGUGUGGACACCCAGAGACACCGAUCGCUGGAAGAGGAGAUGGGUUCUCGAAUCCAGGGAGCGGACAGCGUGCGAAGGCUGGCCGCGCCGGGGCUUCAGGAGGCAACGGGGGUCCAUUUAUACAGAAGUGUCAAGGAGCUGGCUAAGUCUAAUUGGUUGAGAAUCUGUUCUGUGGGUCUCACCUUUUGUCCAGUGAGCAAAGUGAAGUUAUAAAGAUGAAAGAGAGAAGAGGUUAUGAUGAUCCCAGCUCCAGUCUGUUAGAGCUGCAGUCCUCAGGAAGUGAUUUUUGUGUACGGCAGGGGUCAUCGCACUAUGGGCCAGGGUCAUCGCACUAUGGGCCGCAGGUCAAACCCAGCACUUGCUUUCGUAGCGUCCGAGAGCUAAGGAUGGAUUUUACAUUUUUGAAUGGUUGAAAAAAAUCAAAAGAA